This 440-nucleotide ribosomal RNA is filed under the name uncultured bacterium. Its description in RNAcentral is "partial 16S ribosomal RNA". It matches the Rfam family "Bacterial small subunit ribosomal RNA", at positions 338 to 795 of the family's 1533-position model. The record is from RNAcentral.
CCUACGGGUGGCAGCAGUAGGGAAUAUUGCUCAAUGGGGGAAACCCUGAUGUAGCAACGCCGCGUGGGUGAUGAAGUAUUUCGGUACGUAAAGCCCUUUCAGUAGGGAAGAUAAUGACGGUACCUGACGAAUAAGCACCGGCUAACUACGUGCCAGCAGCCGCGGUAAUACGUAGGGGGCAAGCGUUAUCCGGAUUUACUGGGCGUAAAGAGAGCGUAGACGGGAUAGCAAGUCAGGUGUGAAAUGCCGGGGCUCAACCCCGGAACUGCUUUUGAAACUGUGAUGCUCGAGUGCAGGAGAGGUAAGUGGAAUUCUUGGUGUAGCGGUGAAAUGCGUAGAGAUCAGGAGGAAUACUAGUGGCGAAGGCGGCUUACUGGAACGUAACUGACGCUGAGGCGCGAAAGCGUGGGGAGCAAACAGGAUUAGAUACCCUAGUAGUC